AUAUUUUGUAUCUUCUUGUUGUUAAUUUAAUUUCGAUUGACUGCAUAUUCUUAGACAAAUAAUUUGUAUUUUGUUAAUGAUUUCUAUGUUAGGAGUAUAGUUAUAUUAUGAAACCAUAACCAUCAACUUGUUCCCAAUUCAGUUUUAUCUAACAAUGUUUCAAUUGUAGGCGUUUACACUCUUAUGAGAAAGAGGUUGAGAGGGAAGCAGCCAAAACGGCUGACAUGAAGGAGAAGGGUGCUGAUCCUUAUGAUCUUAAGCAACAGGAAAAUGUGUUGGCUGAAUCAAGGAUGAUGAUUCCUGACUGUUGCAAACGCCUUGAGUCCUCGCUAGCUGACCUAAAAGGAAUAUUGCUCGGAUCUAAGCUUCGGAAGCUAGCCCCAACCCAAAUUUAUAGCAUCAGCUUCAUCCAUCAUUAUACAGCCAAAAAGUUUCAAAAUUUUGAAAUCUUUUGCAAACCUUAAAAGAGACUGAUCAGAGCCAAGUGAAUUUGAAAUUUAUACCUUGGUAUGCACAUUAGUGGACUACAUUCGACAGGUUUAACUCUUUCAUUGAAUCUCGCACACAUUGCUGGGAAAAUCCGAAAAAUGUCCCUUUUAGACUCAACGAGAAUGUCUCCUUGACUUUUCAAUGCCACAAAAUGUCCCCUUGAACACAGGUGGCUACGCUGGUGUAUUAAGGUCGGAUGGCGGUAUAUAGGUCCAAUGAGAUCAUGUCACGUGUCCAAUAUAUAUUUAGUGACGCUGGCAUCCGAUGGUGUUUCUGCCGUUGAUGUCAUUGGCGGUUUAAACAGUUCGGUCGGUUCCAACUGUUUAUUUUAAUGAUUACAGCCUAUUAAGGAUGUUGGUGAAGUCAUACAAGUUUAUAAUUGUAAUAAACGCAUUCCCGCUUGGGGUUUUGGUGGGAAAGUAGAUGAUGGCCCUGUAUUGCAUUGUUUCAACCUGAGUGGAAAUGCUCGUAGCAGUGAGGAAGCAAGAGCAUUUAUAGGAAGAUAAAUCAAAAGGGAAACAAAGAAGCUGCUCUUCAUGUAAGUUAGUUUUGAUAUGUAGUG
Molecule: RNA transcript, 1051 nt
Organism: Helianthus annuus (common sunflower)
Lineage: Eukaryota; Viridiplantae; Streptophyta; Magnoliopsida; Asterales; Asteraceae
Gene name: tubulin-folding cofactor A
Exons: 4
Source: RefSeq, a predicted model, not a curated record